This 468-nucleotide ribosomal RNA is filed under the name uncultured bacterium. Its description in RNAcentral is "partial 16S ribosomal RNA". It matches the Rfam family "Bacterial small subunit ribosomal RNA", at positions 28 to 507 of the family's 1533-position model. The record is from RNAcentral.
GACGAACGCUGGCGGCGUGCUUAACACAUGCUAGUCGAACGGAAAGGCCCUGCUUUUGUGGGGUGCUCGAGUGGCUAACGGGUGAGUAACACUUGAGUAACCUGCCCUUGACUUUGUGAUAACUUCAGUAAACUGGUGCUAAUACCGGAUAGUAGCUCCUGCUGCAUGGUGGGGGUUGGAAAGUUUCGGCUGUUGGGGAUGGACUCGCGGCUUAUCAGCUUGUUGGUGGGGUAGUGGCUUACCAAGGCUUUGACGGGUAGCCGGCCUGAGAGGGUGACCGGCCACAUUGGGACUGAGAUACGGCCCAGACUCCUACGGGAGGCAGCAGUGGGGAAUAUUGCACAAUGGGCGGAAGCCUGAUGCAGCAACGCCGCGUGCGGGAUGACGGCCUUCGGGUUGUAAACCGCUUUCGCCUGUGACGAAGCGUGAGUGACGGUAAUGGGUAAAGAAGCACCGGCUAACUACGUG